Molecule: long non-coding RNA, 5343 nt
Filed under: Homo sapiens (human)
Lineage: Eukaryota; Metazoa; Chordata; Mammalia; Primates; Hominidae
Description: HSALNT0161892
Source: RNAcentral
AAAGAGGGAGUGAAGGUCUCUGAAAAUGUAGGAGUCCCUUUAGUAGAUGGGGAGAAAUGGGUUAAAGAUUUUUAAAAAUUGCACAGACAGUAGUUGUUUGCUCUUUGGUUACAGGUGAAUUAUCUCUAUCCUAGUUAGGAGUGGAGGACUGAAGUAUGUCUCAAUGCACAAACUAAGGCUGUGCAGGCUUGGAAAGAAAUUUUCUUUUGUAAUAAAAGGCUAGGCCCCUUGCUAUAGACAUGAGUGAUUAGUUACAAUAGGUUAUUGGGGGUAUCAUCCAGGUAAUGAAAUGUUCAACAAGAAGAUUAUAAAGGUAACUAGAUUUGCCCCAUGGAUUUUGCCCAGUGGUUUUGAAGGCAAAACAAGAUUAAUUUGAAUAUGUAAGGAAGAAAAAUAACUUGGGAUUGAUGAGGGGCUGAUUUUUUACAUUUAUAAAAGCCUGAUGGUGUCAACUACAAAUUUAAAAUCUGUAUUGGGUAUACACAGAACAAUCUCUAGUGUGGCACCAGAUUAAUGGGGGUACCUUGAAAAAUCAGGUCAGAAUAAAGUGACAGAAAUUAUAAAACAUACAUGAUAAUGAUAAUAAACAAGACAUUUAUUUUUCAUACUCUUUUGGGGGAAAGGAAAAAAAUCAGUUUGCCCUACCCAAUGAUGGUCUUUCUGAAAGAUUCUCCAUUCAUUCCAUAGAACUGGAUAGGUUGCUUCAUCUCAGAGGAUUUUGUACUCUUAAUUCAUAAAGAGAACUUCUCUUCAGGAAAGUGGUCAAAGGGUGAGCCUCUGUGAGCAGCUUCGCUGGUGCACAGCCAGACUCCCUCUCUGGUUAGAAUAGGGAAAAAGAAACAUAAUACUUUGAGUGCUUAUGAUGUGCCAGGCCUUAUUCUUUGCAUAGACAAUGCAAUCCUGAAAACAAUGCCAUGAGAGUGAUACAGAUAAUGGGAGCAAAGGGAGCCUGUCAAAGGUCACAGAGCUAGGUAAGUUAGAGCUGACUCAAAUAGGCAUUCUCCAUAGCAGUGUACUGCCUCUAAAUUUAAUUUAGGCCAACAAAUAACCUUGUAAGAUAGACAUGGUUUUCUCUAUUUUACAGGUCAGAAAACAGGCUCAGAAAAUUUAGAAAACUAUACAGAAUCACACAGAGCCCCAUACCCAACUUUUAUCUGACUCCAAAACAGGUGUGGAUCCAGGCUAUAUAAGGCCUAAAACUUUCCCAUUUUAGAGGCACCCUUUUAAGAAAAUGUAUAAAAUUAAGCACAGGGUCUUGGAGAGACCAAUCCAAGUGAGGGGUCCUAAAACUGAAGCUGCAUUUGCUUCUUCAGAAAUCCACCUCUGUCCAAUCUGUUCUGACAAUAGAAUAAGCACCAUGACCUCAGAAAAUAUGUAGCACAAUCCUGGGUACUUUACAUCUAUCAUUGCUAAUCCCUGCAACCCUACAAGAUAGAACUUAUUGUCCUAUUUUACAGACGAACCUGGAGCUUAAGGAAGUUAAAUAACCUGUCUGAUACUGCAGAUCUAGCCAUGGCAAUUAUAGAAUCUGAUCCAAGGAAUUUUUCCCAUUAAAAUCCUUGCUAUUUUCAGUCUACUAAGCUAUGGCAAAACUGAAAUCAAUUUUGGUUUGGAAGUUAUUCUCUAUGCAGAUAUUGACUUUUUUUUUUCCGAAUACUGCCCUGCAUCUGAGCCUCCUGGUGCACUUUAAAUAUGGGUCCAUUCAUCACCAUUAACAGUUUUCUUGGUGUCUGUCACUCCAGGGUAAUCUUCUCCUUGUUCCCUUGCCUUAUUCAGAGACAGUGCUGAGAUUUAAGCUGCUCAUUCAUUCUCAGAGACUACUUCAACGCUACCUCCAUAUCAAGAUGGUUCUCUUGCUCUGUUUCUACUAUUACUUCUAACUCCAGCUCACAGGCUUUUCUUAUAACCCUAGGAACAGCAAGCUCUACCAAAGCAAGGUCUCCUCUGCUUCCUCAGACUGCCGACCAGUGCUGAGAACAGGGACACUGAAUAUCUGUGAGCUGAGCGCAUCCAGCCAUCAACUGACUCACUCACUGAAGAACGCUACAUUCUGGGCAUAUCUUCCAUGACAGUCCAGCAGGGUAGCUGUUGGAAAUCCAAACAUGUCCACUCCUGCUUACGACCUCAGUCACCACCUCUUCAUAUGAUUCUUCCAUGGGCUGUUCCUGAGCACCUGAGGGAGAAAAACAAACAGAAACAAACAGGAAAGGGCAGAAUAAUUGAUAUGUGAGAAGGAAAAAGUCAACAGUUGUUGAGACAUAAGUGAAUGUAAGAAACCUAGAUUGUUUGACAUAAUGUCAGUUACUAAAAUAUCACUGCAAAAUGGGCCCAAAGGUACCAGGACCACACACAAAUGAGUCUAGGAGGAAGCAGGAUGUGGGAAAGCAGAGAACACAUAAACAUAUAUCUCUUCCUGCCAAUCCCAAGUUAAUAGUCACUCCUGUUUACACUUUGGUCUUGGCAUGUAAUUGGGAUCUUCCAUUUUGGUUCCCCACCUAACCACCUACUACUUUCUUCCCUCCAAGCCCCAGAGGAAUUCAGAAUCUAAGAAAACAACAUUUCAGCCUUCAUGAUUGGUUGGAGCCAAUCAGCUCUCCAGUUAUCUGUAGUUACAAAGACUUAACAAGAGAGUCCAUUUGUUACCACUGAACAAUUCUUAGGAGGCUCCAGACCCAGACUCGCCUUUCUCUUGCUCUUGAAGAUACAAGAAUACCAGUUCUGACCAAGUGUAAACACUUGUCAAUUCUUGGAAAAGAAAGACCUACUCUGGACUCCAAGCCCAAGGCACUCCAACUAGGUUAAGUAACUUGCCCAGAAACCCACAGAAAAUAAGGAGUCAAAGUGGAGCAAAGGUUCAAAUCCAAGACUUUCUGGAUCCAAAAUGUAUGCUCUUACAUUAGACAGUUGUCUAGUUCCUAAUCACUAAAGAGCUGGUCAGAAUGCUUAUAAAAUUGAACAGAAAGGAAGAGAGUUUGACCAGAUUGAAGUGCUCUUUCAGAUCCUAGGAAUCCUCUUGUAUGUGCUCUAAAUUAUUUUUUAAUUUUUUUAAAAUUCUGAGUCAAGAUUUUGCUCUGUUGCCCAGGCUGGAGUACAGUGACUCAAUUACAGCUUGCUGUGACUUUGAACUCCUGGACUCAACGGAUCCUCCCACUUCAGCCUCCCAAAUAACUAGGACUACAGGUAAGCACCACCAAGCCUGGCUAAUUUUUAAAAAUUAUUUUAACUUUUUUUUGUAGAGAUCGGGUCUCAUUAUCCUGCCCAGGCUGGUCUCCAACUCUUGGCCUGAAGUGACCCUCCUGCCUCGGCCUCCCAAGACAUGUAGGCAUGAGCUACUACACCUGGCCCACAUGAUCUAUUUUUUAAAAAAAAUAUUUCUUCUUACUUCAGGAUCCUAAUUACUGAAUUCUUAUACUUUUAAGAAAUGCAGUGGUUCAAUGCAUACUCCUUGUUUCCCUCUAAUUUGUCCUAUCAAAAUGCUGGCCUUCUGAUUUAAUGAAAUAAUAGUAUGAUGCUACCAUUCUUUGUUUUGUCAACCUAAGCACCUGGUUCUUCUUGACAACUGCACAUUCUGCUACAUGCUGUGAUGACCAGGAGAAUCAUUUAAAUUUUUAUUUGGAGGACUCACUUCCAACUUGGAACACAAGCUGCAAAGGAAUUCCCUACCAGCAUGCCAGCACAUCAUUUGGAAGUUCAAGGUAUUCUUGCUCAACAGCUGCACACACAUUAAAAGUCCCUGGGGUACAUGGCGCCUGCUGCCUGGGGUUGGACUCUGUCGCCGGGGAUUCCAGAAAUUAGAGUAGAAUUCACAGCUCUGCCUCUCCACCUGCUGUGAGGUCUUCAAGUUACAACUCCGCCGCCUAUCAGGGACCUCCGUGAUUAGUAAGGGAGAAAUUGUCAUAUUUUUCUCCCUAGAUCACAGGUCUGAGGAAGCAGUUUCCCCAAGAUUUUGUAAAAGUGGCUUUAUAAUUAAAAACAUUGAUUUUCCUAUUAGAAAGGCUACUAUAUCCUUUGGAAAAAGCUUAGAAGUAGUCCGUGAGUCUUGGCUUCUUGCCGUGGCUCCCCCAGGAUAUGAUCUUGGGCGAGUAACCCAGCAGCCCUGACUCUGCUUCCCCACUUAUUAAACAGGUUACUAACACUGUCCUAUCAGGUAGGACAAUGAGAAGGAAAGAACCAAACAAGAGGAGUAUCAGACGAGACCACCAGACUUAAGAUCUAAAAUCCGGCGUCCUCUGGAGGGCGGAUGAGAAGAGGGGUACACUUGGCGGUCUGGAAAAUGUCCUGGGGCCAGUUUCAGGUUUAGGAGCUUGUGGGUAGCGUGGUUUCCCACACGCUGCCUGGCUUCCUACUCUCCCCCGCAGGGGCUGCCUCUCCUCCCACCCCGGAAGGCCGGCACCGGCUUCCCGCACUCGCUGAAGCCCGCACGGAGGCCGGGUGAGCCUGCCGCGGCCUCCCCCUCCCACGCCCCGACGCCAUGGGCCCUGCUCCUCUCCGCAGACGCUGCCCUCCCGCCUCAGGCCCCGGGCCCCGGGCACCGGGCCCGCCCUGCGUCCUGAACCUCGGCAUCCCGCUCUCCGGUCCACGGGACCCUGCUCUGCGGACCGCCGACCUCUCCGCUCGCGGCUGGCCUCCCUCGGGGCCCGGGCCGGCCAGGCCUGCUCAUUUCCUUGGCGGCCGCUGGCAUAAGGCGGCCACACGGAGGGCCCGGGACAGCGGUCUGAUGGCGCAGCCCCGCCUUGCCCCGGCGCUCUGACCCGGCCAGCGGCCUCACUCACCGCAGCGGCGCGUGCCCGCAGACAAAGGCCGGCGCCGAGCCCGCAGCAGCGCCAGCGCCGGCGCCGGCGGAAUGGACUACAACUCCCAGGAGUCUCCCCGCGAGCCCGCCCGCCGGGCCGUGGGUCUCGGCGGCCCCGGCUUCCCAAGAGCUCUGUGGGAAAUGUAGUUCUCUGGCGCGCCCUGCGCUCGGGCCCCGCAGGUCCCUAGGGCGCGGGGACCUCAAGCCGUCCCGUUUGGACUGGUAAUCCGGAGACUCACAGCGGUGACCUGUCAGCGGACGCGGAGCCGGGACGGAGCCACGGCCGCUCAGAUUAGCAGGAUCUGAUUGACAGCAUCGGGGCUUGAGUGCAGUGGCACGGUGUCGCCUCACUGCAACCUCCGCCUUCUGGGCUCAAGUGAUUCUCCUGCCCCAGCCUCCCAAGUAGCUGGGACUACAGGAUCGGGGCCACAUCCUGGAGCUGUUCUGCCUGGCCGGGUGUAUCUCUGGGUCCCUGCCUCUGGAGCCCCUCUCCGUAGAUGUGUCUGUCCAUCCUCUUUCGUGAAGGACUAAUAAAGAAUGCUUCCUCUUGC